CUCGUAGUCGGAUUUCGGGGCGGGGCGACCGGUCUGCCGAUGGGUAUGCUCUGGUCGGCGCGUCCUUCCUUCCGGAGACCGUGCCUACUCUUAACUGAGCGGGGGCGGGAGACGGAUCGUUUACUUUGAAAAAAUCAGAGUGUUUCAAGCAGGCGUCUCGCCUUUGCAUGGAUUAGCAUGGGAUAAUGAAAUAGGACUUUGGUGCUAUUUUGUUGGUUUCGAACACCGAAGUAAUGAUUAACAGGGACAGUCAGGGGCACUCGUAUUCCGUCGAGAGAGGUGAAAUUCUCAGACCAAUGGAAGACGAACAACUGCGAAAGCAUUUGCCAGGGAUGUUUUCACUGAUCAAGAACGAAAGUUAGGGGAUCGAAGACGAUCAGAUACCGUCGUAGUCUUAACCAUAAACCAUGCCGACUAGGGAUCGGAGGAUGUUAGAUUUGACUCCUUCGGCACCUUACGGGAAACUAAAGUCUUUGGGUUCCGGGGGGAGUAUGGUCGCAAGGCUGAAACUUAAAGGAAUUGACGGAAGGGCACCACCAGGAGUGGAGCCUGCGGCUUAAUUUGACUCAACACGGGGAAACUUACCAGGUCCAGACAUUGUAAGGAUUGACAGAUUGAAAGCUCUUUCUUGAUUCGAUGGGUGGUGGUGCAUGGCCGUUCUUACUUGGUGGAGUGAUUUGUCUGGUUAAUUCCGUUAACGAAACGAGACCUUAGCCUGCUAAAUA
RNAcentral lists this ribosomal RNA (725 nucleotides) under uncultured eukaryote. RNAcentral's name for it is "SSU rRNA". It matches the Rfam family "Eukaryotic small subunit ribosomal RNA", at positions 627 to 1357 of the family's 1831-position model. The record is from RNAcentral.